GACGAACGCUGGCGGCGUGCCUAAUACAUGCAAGUUGAGCGCUGAAGGUUGGUACUUGUACCAACUGGAUGAGCAGCGAACGGGUGAGUAACGCGUGGGGAAUCUGCCUUUGAGCGGGGGACAACAUUUGGAAACGAAUGCUAAUACCGCAUAAAAACUUUAAACACAAGUUUUAAGUUUGAAAGACGCAAUUGCAUCACUCAAAGAUGAUCCCGCGUUGUAUUAGCUAGUUGGUGAGGUAAAGGCUCACCAAGGCGAUGAUACAUAGCCGACCUGAGAGGGUGAUCGGCCAAAUUGGGACUGAGACACGGCCCAAAACCCCACGGGAGGCAGCAGUAGGGAAUCUUCGGGAAUGGACGAAAGUCUGACCGAGCAACGCCGCGUGAGUGAAGAAGGUUUUCGGAUCGUAAAACUCUGUUGGUAGAGAAGAACGUUGGUGAGAGUGGAAAGCGCAUAAAGUGACGGUAACUAACCAGAAAGGGACGGCUAACUACGUG
RNAcentral lists this ribosomal RNA (497 nucleotides) under uncultured bacterium. RNAcentral's name for it is "partial 16S ribosomal RNA". It matches the Rfam family "Bacterial small subunit ribosomal RNA", at positions 28 to 507 of the family's 1533-position model. The record is from RNAcentral.